This 492-nucleotide ribosomal RNA is filed under the name uncultured bacterium. RNAcentral describes it as "partial 16S ribosomal RNA". It matches the Rfam family "Bacterial small subunit ribosomal RNA", at positions 29 to 507 of the family's 1533-position model. The record is from RNAcentral.
AGUGAACGCUGGCGGUAGGCCUAACACAUGCAAGUCGAACGGCAGCACAGUAAGAGCUUGCUCUUACGGGUGGCGAGUGGCGGACGGGUGAGGAAUACAUCGGAAUCUACUUUUUCGUGGGGGAUAACGUAGGGAAACUUACGCUAAUACCGCAUACGACCUACUGGUGAAAGCAGGGGAUCUUCGGACCUUGCGCGAUUGAAUGAGCCGAUGUCGGACUAGCUAGUUGGCGGGGUAAAGGCCCACCAAGGCGACGAUCCGUAGCUGGUCUGAGAGGAUGAUCAGCCACACUGGAACUGAGACACGGUCCAGACUCCUACGGGAGGCAGCAGUGGGGAAUAUUGGACAAUGGGCGCAAGCCUGAUCCAGCCAUACCGCGUGGGUGAAGAAGGCCUUCGGGUUGUAAAGCCCUUUUGUUGGGAAAGAAAGGCAGCAGGUUAAUACCCCGCUGUUCUGACGGUACCAAAAGAAUAAGCACCGGCUAACUUCGUG